ACUUAAACUUUCGCCUCCAAACUAGCAGUUGCAGGGUACAACAGUGAUGGUUUUAUAUCAGAUUUCCCCCCCUGUUUAAUAGAGUAUAAGAUUUGAAAAUUCUGUCCACAAAAUUGAUAUCGUUUAAUUGUUUUCAAAAAGAAUAAAAAGCUAGAAGCUGGGAUAUCGUCUAUGAAUAACAGGAAAAAGAUUGAUUAUAACUCCAAACAGAUUUCACACCCCUUAUUCAACGAUUAGUUCGUCGUAUUGUUGCUUCAUCUUCAAUUUUUCCGACGAUUUCUCCGGCGAUUGCAAAAACCCUAAAAGAGUAAUCUACAGACCUAGAAGCCGAACAUUUACAAAUAGUGGAAUAAAAUUUUUUAAAUGGAUUUGAAAAAGAGAAGAAAUAAAGAGGUAAAACAGGAGUAAGAUUUACAUAAAGCUCCACAAACCAGCACAUGAGCUAAAGGGCGGCGAAGAAAAGAGAUAACGAAUCAAAAUGGUGGUGACAGUGGCCUCACUAGUCCAAAUGUCAUAUAUUAAGGGGCCUCAUACAACUAUGACGUGGCAGUGUUAGACACAAAGUAAAAUUUCUCAAAAUUCAUAUAUUCCAGCGAGUUCGACAAUUUUUCUCAUUCUCCCACUCCAUUUGUCAUUCGGUUUUGGGUAUCAAUUCCCCACAUUUCUCCCUUUUUGGUUUCUAAAGUUCUAGCCUAGAGCCUUGUUUCAUUUGUUAGUUCUGAUAAGUUUUCGCCUACUCUUUUCUUUAUUGCACUGAUUUUUGCCCAUCGCUUCUGGAUUCUCUUUGAAGGAUAAAGCCAACGAGCCUUUGGAGGGACUGAGAAAACUUUUACCGUACUCAAGGAAUAUUUAUGUUUCCUUGAAAAGGUACAUUUUACUCAUAAGAGGCGCAGGUUCUCCUUUAUCUUUCUAUAUCCUUAUAGCUUAAUGGUCCAUCUCUGUCAUAACCUUUGUUUUACUGUUGAUGCUGCUAACAAUUAGGAAGUUAUAUGCAACUAAAUCUUUCUUGCAGGGAAACAUAAGCACUUAUUGGUGGAAGCGAUCUGCAGCAAUUUUUUCAGUUAAAAGUUUCUUAUGAUAUCUAUUCUUCUUAGUACAUAACCUUGGUAGAAUCUUUUUUUAGUGUUGUGACUUGUGACCCUGUCAAGGUCGAGGGUACUUAAAUAUAGAAACCAAACUGAUUUAAUUUCUCGCUUUAUCGUGCUAUUACUUACUGCUGAAAUUUUGCUAUAGGCAUCUGCUCAGUUGAAAAAAAAAUUGUGCGAGAUAUUGUUGUCCGUUUGCCUACAAUUAACUAGGCAUUUUGUAGUUAUCAUGACUCAUAAGCAUUUUGUAGUUAUCAUGACUCAUAAGCAUACAUGGGACUAAUCAAUUUGAAUCUUUUGAUGUUCAAAAUCUGAAGAUAUCUUAAGUCUUAAAGAUUUAUGGAGAAAUAUAAUUUGAAGAUACUAUAAUCAAAAGCAUUGCAUCUGAAACUGUUUCAGAAUCUUUGCUAUCCUGGUAAUUGAGUAGUGAGAUGAAAGCUUAUUAAGGAGAUUGAGACUUAGGAAUACAUCCUGAGCAUUGCGCCCGAUAUCUCCUUUGAGAGGAUUAGAAAGAUCUUGAAAUGACAAUACUUAAUUCCUUGAGUUGCUUUCAAGAAGAUAUUUAGCUACCUUAGUUUUCAAACUGAACGGGAAAUAGACCUUCAUUCGUAGGUUUCCUUUAAAUACAAUAAUUUUCAAAAAUAUUUAAACUAAUCUGCUGGCUACUUGGAACUGGUUGAUCUCCUCUUGCAUUAUGCUCAAGGCAUAUGCGUUUUAAUUUUGUUGCUUUCAAAGUUAUAAGUACUUCUGAAAAUUUUUAUAUUGAUUUUUAGAAAACUAUUUUCUUGACAAUCUUGGGCGUUUAGCUAUUUUUGAUAUGGAAACGUAAUAAAAUCGCUCGGUCUAAUGCCAACUAAGUUCCAAAAUUUGUUAAAACCAUCUGUCACUGUUAUUUAGAAUUUAGAGAAUUUGAAUCUUUAUGCAGAUGAGAUAUUUCUGACACUUGUGAAUUAGUGGAGUUGAAGAUGGUUUUAUUUUGUGAAUUGGUUAAUAUUGGUAAAAUAUUUGGAGUUGAAGAUGGUUUUAUUUUGUGAAUUGGUUAAUAUUGGUAAAAUAUUUGGAGUUGAAGAUGGUUUUAUUUUGUGAAUUGGUUAAUAUUGGUAAAAUAUUAGAACUAUGUAUUGUUUUCUAGACCUGGAUAACUGAGAGCUGCUAUUUGUUUUCAGGCCAGCUUACUCUUCCCUUCAAUAAUUGAUAUUAUUUAAUUCUUUCACUACCUACACAAGGUUUAACUGUGUUCUACAGAGGCAUGGUGAGUUUCAUUUUACGAAGUUUUUUAUGUUUCCUUUUUAAUAUUAUUUUUUGACAAAAUAUGUUUUCAUCACAUGCUUCUUUCUUUUCCCCUGCUUUCUACGUAAUAUAAUAUUACGUUUGUUUCUAUUUCUUCAAGAUCAUUGUUGUUGUUAUUUAUGCUAUAAUUUGUGUUGUCCUCCCUAAAUUCUUGAGUUCCUUACGUCUGUCCAUAGUAUCGAAAUACAAGUUAAUUGUAGUCCUACUAAGGAAAGAAAAAAUGUAGGAGAUGUAAUAGGAAUUACUAUGAACUCGACUUAUCCUUUGAUAAUAUAUGCUGACCAGUUGCAUAUUCAUUGUUUGGGAAGUAGUUAAAUGUGUUUCCAUGGUUUCAUGCUUAACUUAGAUAUUCAAGAUUCAUGAAUGUUUUUACUAUAUUUGUGUCGUUUGACAGGAAAAUAUCUAUGAAAAGAUUGUAACUUCAAGAAAGAGACCUUACUGUUAAGGCUAAAGCCCUUCUUUCAUAAUUUAAUGAAACAGCCUAAGGUGAGGAUCCAAGACUUAUGGUACAGAAAUACCUUUAGAUUUUAGAGAGACAAAAAUGUUUCGAUCUUGAUGAUCAUAUCUAUCAGCAAAUAUCAGAGAGGUAGUAUUUCUACUAUAUAUAAGUGAAUAAGGUGUACGAACACAACUUCAAAAAGUUGUACAAAAAACACCCUAAAUUGUACGAUAACUUGGGCCAAACACUACUGUAACAUGGCUCUUUCAUGCUGACACAUGUUAACAAGUGAGACAUCUGGCUUGGAACGCUAUUGGAACUUGCGAUGAUACCCAUUUUCUCUUCGUUUCUCUCAUUCUUAUUUCUCACUCUGUCAUUCUUAUUUCUUGUCAUUCUUAUUUCUCACUCUGUCAUUCUUCUCUCUUUUCUCCUCUUUCUCAUUAUCAUUUCUGUAAUUUUCUGUUUGUGGGUCUCAAAUUUCAUUGCCUUUUUCCUCUGGUGUUCAUCUUAGCUCUUCAAUUUCUUCUGCUCCUCUCUCGGAGAAGCUUACUGUGCAGUCUAAAAUUUCUGCUGCCUUUGAUUUUUUCCAAUUUUCCACAAAUUUGGCCAGCAUUAUAGAAAUUUUUGUGGCUUUGGUUCUUUUGUGAACCGUCUGCACAUGCAUAUGAAGUUGAGCAAGAGAGGAAGUAAGUUGAGCAAGAGAGGAAGUAAGUCUCCAUCUUGAACGACUCCUUUUCUCUUUGUCUUAUAAAUCUUAUGCAUUUGUUUUGAUUACUCCUACUUUUGGCUUUGAAUUCUGAAUUCAUUUCAAUAUUACUACAUUUUGGUUCCGUGGAGAUUUUCGAUUUUGCAUAGUGUUUAUUUGUUAUUUCUCGAUGGGCAUGUAAACAUGUGAUUCAAUUUUUUUUUUAAAAGAAUAUUGAUUUAUAAUCUUCAUUCUGCCUGAAAUUUUCCUUGCAUUUUGCUUUAUUUUUUAUUUUUAGUAUAAUGUGUAUAGUUUUUCUUAUUUGAUUUAUAUAUGCUCUUUACUCUUAUCGCGUUUUCUAAGUGGAUUUUGUACAUGCAUGUGGUUGGUUCUUCCAACUCUUAUAUGGAAGUACAAUGAAUUCACCCUCAGGAAGAGAAAAUAGUAUAAUACUUAAUAAAAAGGGAAGAACUUUGAUGCAUCAAAGAUGUUUGGCGAUAGUAUUGAGUAAUUCUGUUCCUUUUUCCGUAGGUGUUCUAUGGUGUAAAGAUCUAUCAUCCAACAACCCCAAUAGUAGAUUACUUACUUCUACUGGACAGAACUACUGAAUAAUAUAAUAUGCAUUAUAUUUGAAAAAGGAUUGAAAAAGGUAAUUUGUUUUUUCGUCGGGCAAUAAAUAUGUACAGACUCUUACAUUUACUGUAAGUUUGUGCUACUCUCUUUCUAAGCUUCCACUUUGCACUUUGGAUUUCUCAUUCUUCUUAUUUGUUAGGAAGAAACAUGCAAUGUUUUCAUUUCAUUUGGACAAUUUUUUAUUUGAUUGAAAUUGAAAGAAGUUGUCUUGGCUAGCUUCUUUUCAUAUGUUUGGUGGUGAAAAUAAUAAGUGCAAAAGGUUGCACAGUACUCUACUGUGAGCUAUAAGGGCAUUGUUGAGAAAAUAAUAUUCUUUCAAUUAAUUUAUUGCAACAGUUUUCCAGUAAGAAAAUGAAUCAGAAAUUACCCCCAUCCAUGAACUAUGACCGCACAUUUUUUUCCCAGCUUCAAUGCACUUCCAUUUACUUAGUUAAACAAUACCUUUCUACAAAUAUUUAAGAAACUUAAACAGAGUAACUUGAGCUCUGCCGCCAACACCCCAUAAUUGAACCUAAUAAAUACAAUCCCGCAGUCGAAACAAGGUAAAUACUACUUUAAGCUGAUACUGCCAAAUCCAAACAAGUUUCUCCCUUCUUUCAUAUGUUGAUUUUUGUAGUAUUUUAUAAGAUAUGAAAAUUGAUCCAGGAGUCCCAUGUCACAUCUUAUGAUGAUUCGGUACAUUAGACGUCUUAUAAUUUUUUUGCAUUUGGAGUAUUGUACUCGCAAAGAAACUGAAUACAACUUGGAAAUAUUUUUUGGUGUAUGUGCUUUUUGGAAUGCAGAGAUGUUUCGACGGGGAGUUCUAUGGUUGUAUGUUCUUGAUGUUCAAGUAGUUUAUCAUGUUUUUGCUUUAAACUACACUUUGUACUUGAUGAGUAUAUAUGGUAGAAUUCAUUCAUCUUAUGAAAGGAUAUUGUGAAGGGGGUGGACUGUUUCUUUAUAAGACUACUUAGGAUUCCUGUUCUUUUUUUAAAACUUUAAAUGCUACUUCAUUACUUAUGAAUCCCUCUUUUUCCCACUCUAAUUUUGCUACUUCUUUACUACAGGUGAAUGCCCGUGAAGAUUCGAAUACUUUAUUUUUUAUACAAAUCAGCCCUUCUUAUAAAGACUAAUGUAGAACUCUUAGGAACUUAACAAAAAGAAUUAGUGAGAGAAAUUGAGAUUUCGACUUCGCCGCUCUGCCUUGUUCCAUCAAGGUAAUCACAUCGUAUGAAUUGACUGCGCUUAUCUGUACUACAAAGUUUCAUCUCCGGUCUUGAUUUGAACCUCUGAAUCUAGUUUUGAACAUUGAAGCUCUACAAUGCACUUAUUUCCAAGAGUGAAUGGGAAAAUUGGAUUUGCUGUGCCGAUUUUGUAAUGCAUAAGUUGUUCGACUUCUUCAGUAGUAUAUAUUUUGCUUUAUAUAAUGCAUUGGUAUAUUGCCAUGCUUUUGGCUAUUUUAAUGUGAACAUGUUUGACUGGUGAUAUACUAGACUGGUGGUAGUUCUUACGGUAGGGAAAUGUCACCAGAAAAUAACGAUAA
This is a long non-coding RNA of Nicotiana tabacum (common tobacco), 5654 nucleotides long. RefSeq lists it as uncharacterized. Lineage: Eukaryota; Viridiplantae; Streptophyta; Magnoliopsida; Solanales; Solanaceae. The record is from RefSeq and is a predicted model, not a curated record.